CUUGUCUCAAAGAUUAAGCCAUGCAUGUCUAAGUAUAAGCAAUUAUACAGCGAAACUGCGAAUGGCUCAUUAUAUAAGUUAUCGUUUAUUUGAUAGUACCUUACUACUUGGAUAACCGUGGUAAUUCUAGAGCUAAUACAUGCUAAAAAUCCCGACUUCGGAAGGGAUGUAUUUAUUAGAUUAAAAACCAAUGCCCUCUGGGCUCUCUGGUGAUUCAUGAUAACUUCUCGAAUCGCAUGGCCUUGCGCCGGCGAUGGUUCAUUCAAAUUUCUUCCCUAUCAACUUUCGAUGUUUGGGUAGUGGCCAAACAUGGUUGCAACGGGUAACGGAGGGUUAGGGCUCGACCCCGGAGAAGGAGCCUGAGAAACGGCUACUACAUCCAAGGAAGGCAGCAGGCGCGCAAAUUACCCAAUCCCGAUUCGGGGAGGUAGUGACAAUAAAUACUGAUACAGGGCUCUUUUGGGUCUUGUAAUUGGAAUGAGUACAAUUUAAAUCCCUUAACGAGGAACAAUUGGAGGGCAAGUCUGGUGCCAGCAGCCGCGGUAAUUCCAGCUCCAAUAGCGUAUAUUAAAGUUGUUGUGGUUAAAAAGCUCGUAGUUGAACCUUGGGCCUGGCUGGCCGGUCCGCCUCACCGCGUGUACUGGUCCGGCCGGGCCUUUCCCUCUGUGGAACCCCAUGCCCUUCACUGGGUGUGGCGGGGAAACAGGACUUUUACUUUGAAAAAAUUAGAGUGCUCCAGGCAGGCCUAUGCUCGAAUACAUUAGCAUGGAAUAAUAAAAUAGGACGUGCGGUUCUAUUUUGUUGGUUUCUAGGACCGCCGUAAUGAUUAAUAGGGACAGUCGGGGGCAUCAGUAUUCAAUUGUCAGAGGUGAAAUUCUUGGAUUUAUUGAAGACUAACUACUGCGAAAGCAUUUGCCAAGGAUGUUUUCAUUAAUCAGGAACGAAAGUUAGGGGAUCGAAGACGAUCAGAUACCGUCGUAGUCUUAACCAUAAACUAUGCCGACUAGGGAUCGGACGAUGUUAUUUUUUGACUCGUUCGGCACCUUACGAGAAAUCAAAGUGCUUGGGCUCCAGGGGGAGUAUGGUCGCAAGGCUGAACUUAAG
RNAcentral lists this ribosomal RNA (1104 nucleotides) under Keithomyces acicularis. Its description in RNAcentral is "SSU rRNA". It matches the Rfam family "Eukaryotic small subunit ribosomal RNA", at positions 31 to 1148 of the family's 1831-position model. The record is from RNAcentral. Lineage: Eukaryota; Fungi; Ascomycota; Sordariomycetes; Hypocreales; Clavicipitaceae.